GGAUGUGCUUUGUUCUUGUUGUUAGAGGCACAUGGAAUGGAGCUAUCUAACUGGAAACUCUAAAAUGCUUUUAGAAGGACACCUGAGUAAAAACCAAGUGAAUGAAGUUCUUUCCAUGGGUAUGAUGCAGUCUUUUCCUGGAAUGUGGCUAAUUAUCACAAAUGAUGUAAUACAGUGCUGUCCUUUAUACAACAGAUUGCUAAUGUUCAGUGAAGUUAAUCAAGAAGAAAGAGGUCUUUAAGUCCCUUACAAUUAAACCCUUCUGCCUGUCACCUGUAACAUAAAGGGCAUUAAAAAGGCUGUAUCAGAAUGAAACAAACACACAGAACAGUAAUCAAGAUCUUUUAAGACUUAUCACAAACAAUCACCUUGAAGACUGUCAACAAUAUAUAUGACAGUGUUCAUGAUGUAGCUUAAGGACCAUUGCCAAUUCAGAGACACUGUAGUUCACCCUGAAUACUACUGCUAAUAUAAAGUAUGGAAAAACAUGAUGGACAUGAUUAUUAUGUAAAUAUUCUAAUGGAACACAGUACCAACAAUGUAUGAAACAAGAGGGCCAUGAAGGCCCUGUACUGCUCACUUGACCUAUUGACCUAACGAUCAAGAUUAACAUUCUGACCAAGUUUCAUUAAGAUAUGGUUAGAAAUAUGGCCUCUAAAAUGUUAACAAGUUUUUACUUUGAUUCGACCUGGUGACCUAGUUUUGACCUAACAUGACCCAGAUUCAAACUUGACCUAAAGAUCAUCAAGAUUUACAUUCUGACUAAGUUUCAUGAAGAAACAGUCAUAAAUGUGGCCUCUACAGUGUAAAAAAGCUUUUCCUUUGAUUUGACCUAGUGACCUAGUUUUUGACCCCACCUGACCCAGAUUUUAAUAUAACCUAUAGAUCAUCAAGAUUAACAUUCUUACCAUGUUUCAUUAAGAUAUGAUCAUAAAUGUGGCCUCUAAAGUGUUUACCAGCUUUUUCUUUGAUUUGACCUGGUGACCCAGUUUUUCACCUUAAUGAACCAGAUUCAAACUGGACCUUGAGAUAAUAAGAUUAACAUUCUGACCAAGUUUCGUGAAGAUACAGUCAUAAAUGCUGCCUCUACAGUGUUAAGAAGCUUUUCCUUUGAUUUGACCUGGUGACCUAGUUCUUGACCCAAGAUGACCCAAUAUCAAACUCGUCCAAAUUUUAUUUAGGGUAACAUUCUGACCAAGUUUCAUUAAGAUUGGGCCAAAAUUGUGACCUCUAGAGUGUUAACAAGCUUUUCCUUUGAUUUGACCUGGUGACCUAGUUUUUGACCCUAUAUGACCCAAUAUCGAACUAAUCCAAGAUUUUACUGAGGGUAACAUUCUGACUAAGUUUCAUUCAGAUUGGGCCAAAAUUGUGACCUCUAGAGUAUUAACAAGCUUUUCCUUUGAUUUGACCUGGUGACCUAGUUUUUGACCCUAGAUGACCCAAUAUCAAACUAAUCCAAGAUUUUAUUGAGGGUAAAAUUCUGACCAAGUUUCAUUAAGAUUGGGCCAAAAUUGUGACCUCUAGAGUGUUAACAGUCAAAUUGUUGCAACGACGGACGGCAGACUGACAGACGACGGAUGCGGGGCGAUCACAAAAGCUCACCUUUGAGCACUUCAUGCUCAGGUGAGCUAAAAAAGGACCUAAUCUGAUAAUUUAGCUAAAUAUAACAACUAUUGUCGAAGACCAUCCUGGAUACAACUAUUGUAACAAACCUCCAGAACAGGAUAAGGUGGCUGCAUGAUACUCAUCAUCUCUGCUACUAAUCAGACAAUAAAAUUGUAAUAAAAAUGUUUCAGCCUUAACAUGUGUAACAUCUGUUUGUUUAAGUUAAUGAUGAUGAAUUCUGAUCAAAUAAAGUCA
Molecule: long non-coding RNA, 1860 nt
Organism: Mercenaria mercenaria
Lineage: Eukaryota; Metazoa; Mollusca; Bivalvia; Venerida; Veneridae
Exons: 3
Source: RefSeq, a predicted model, not a curated record